This 468-nucleotide ribosomal RNA is filed under the name uncultured bacterium. RNAcentral describes it as "partial 16S ribosomal RNA". It matches the Rfam family "Bacterial small subunit ribosomal RNA", at positions 28 to 507 of the family's 1533-position model. The record is from RNAcentral.
GACGAACGCUGGCGGCGUGCUUAACACAUGCAAGUCGAACGGAAAGGCCCUGCUUUUGUGGGGUGCUCGAGUGGCGAACGGGUGAGUAACACAUGAGUAACCUGCCCUUGACUUUGGGAUAACUUCAGGAAACUGGGGCUAAUACCGGAUAGGAGCUCCUGCUGCAUGGUGGGGGUUGGAAAGUUUCGGCGGUUGGGGAUGGACUCGCGGCUUAUCAGCUUGUUGGUGGGGUAGUGGCUUACCAAGGCUUUGACGGGUAGCCGGCCUGAGAGGGUGACCGGCCACAUUGGGACUGAGAUUCGGCCCAGACUCCUACGGGAGGCAGCAGUGGGGAAUAUUGCACAAUGGGCGGAAGCCUGAUGCAGCAACGCCGCGUGCGGGAUGACGGCCUUCGGGUUGUAAACCGCUUUCGCCUGUGACGAAGCGUGAGUGACGGUAAUGGGUAAAGAAGCACCGGCUAACUACGUG